RNAcentral lists this ribosomal RNA (499 nucleotides) under uncultured bacterium. RNAcentral describes it as "partial 16S ribosomal RNA". It matches the Rfam family "Bacterial small subunit ribosomal RNA", at positions 28 to 507 of the family's 1533-position model. The record is from RNAcentral.
GACGAACGCUGGCGGCGUGCUUAACACAUGCAAGUCGAACGGGCCUGUCUUCUUUUUUGGGGGUGGGUUGAGUGGCGAACGGGUGAGUAUCACGUGAGUAACCUGCCCUUCGGUCCUGGAUAACCGCUUGAAAGGGCGGCUAAUACGGGGUGGUCCGGUUGGUCCGCAUGGGCUGGUCGGGAUAGAUUCACUGUUUUUGGUGUUUCGGCGGGGGAUGGGGUCGCGGCCUAUCAGCUUGUUGGUGGGGUGAUGGCCUACCCAGGCGGUGACGGGUAGCCGGCCGGAGAGGGUGGGCGGCCAGAAUGGGACUGAGAUACGGCCCAGACUCAUGCGGGAGGCAGCAGUGGGGGGUAUUGCACAAUGGGCGGAAGCCUGAUGCAGCGACGUCGCGUGAGGGAUGGAGGCCUUCGGGUUGUGAACCUCUGUUUCCGGUGGUGAAGGCCCUGUCCGUGUGGUGGGGUUGACGGUAGCCGGGGAUGAAGCGCCGGCUAACUACGUG